Peromyscus maniculatus bairdii (prairie deer mouse) is the source of this 107-nucleotide small nuclear RNA. Lineage: Eukaryota; Metazoa; Chordata; Mammalia; Rodentia; Cricetidae. The record is from Ensembl.
GUGCUCACUUUGGCAGCGCAUAAACUAAAAUAGAAACCAUACAGAGAAGAUUAGCCUGGCCUCUGUUCAGGGAUCACAUGCAAAUUCCUGAAGCAGUCCAUAAAAGU